Molecule: ribosomal RNA, 101 nt
Filed under: uncultured bacterium
Lineage: Bacteria
Description: partial 16S ribosomal RNA
Rfam family: Bacterial small subunit ribosomal RNA
Source: RNAcentral
UACACACCGCCCGUCACGUCAUGAAAGUGGGAGACGCCUGAAGCCGGUGGGCUAACUCGUAAGAGAGGCAGCCGUCUAGGGUGGGGCCCGCGAUUGGGACG